CCUACGGGGGGCAGCAGUGAGGAAUAUUGGUCAAUGGGCGAGAGCCUGAACCAGCCAAGUCGCGUGAGGGAGUACUGCCCUAUGGGUUGUAAACCUCUUUUGUCGGGGAGCAAAAGCCGGACGUGUCCGGCUGUGAGAGUACCCGACGAAAACGCAUCGGCUAACUCCGUGCCAGCAGCCGCGGUAAUACGGAGGAUGCGAGCGUUAUCCGGAUUUAUUGGGUUUAAAGGGUGCGCAGGCGGAUUUUUAAGUCAGCGGUAAAAUCGUGGGGCUCAACCCCAUCCAGCCGUUGAAACUGGGGAUCUAGAGUGUGCGAGAGGUAUGCGGAAUGCGUGGUGUAGCGGUGAAAUGCAUAGAUAUCACGCAGAACCCCGAUUGCGAAGGCAGCAUACCGGUGCACAACUGACGCUCAGGCACGAAAGCGUGGGUAUCGAACAGGAUUAGAUACCCUUGUAGUC
RNAcentral lists this ribosomal RNA (458 nucleotides) under uncultured bacterium. RNAcentral's name for it is "partial 16S ribosomal RNA". It matches the Rfam family "Bacterial small subunit ribosomal RNA", at positions 338 to 795 of the family's 1533-position model. The record is from RNAcentral.